RNAcentral lists this ribosomal RNA (253 nucleotides) under uncultured bacterium. RNAcentral's name for it is "partial 16S ribosomal RNA". It matches the Rfam family "Bacterial small subunit ribosomal RNA", at positions 524 to 776 of the family's 1533-position model. The record is from RNAcentral.
GACGGAGGAUGCAAGCGUUGUCCGGACUGAUUGGGCGUAAAGCGUUCGCAGGCGGCUGAUCAAGUCGGCUGUCAAAGACCGGGGCUUAACCCUAGAAAGGCAGUGGAAACUGAACGGCUGGAGUGCAGUAGGGGUAGAUGGAAAUCCCAGUGUAGCGGUGAAAUGCGUAGAGAUUGUGAAGAACACCGGUGGCGAAAGCGCUCUGCUGGACUUCAACUGACACUGAGGGACGAAAGCUAGGGGAGCGAAUGGG